Molecule: ribosomal RNA, 306 nt
Filed under: Penalva sp. Anost_PNG12
Lineage: Eukaryota; Metazoa; Arthropoda; Insecta; Orthoptera; Anostostomatidae
Description: eukaryotic LSU rRNA
Rfam family: Eukaryotic large subunit ribosomal RNA
Source: RNAcentral
ACCCGUCUUGAAACACGGACCAAGGAGUCUAACAUGUGCGCGAGUCAAUGGGUUUUUAGACCUAGAGGCGCAAUGAAAGUGAAGGUCUCGCUCAGCGCGGGCCGAGGGAAGACGGGCCGCUCCUCAUCAGGACGGCCCCGCAUUCCCGGGGCGUCUUAUCCUUUGUCUGGCGAGGCGCACCCAGAGCGUACACGUUGGGACCCGAAAGAUGGUGAACUAUGCCUGGUCAGGACGAAGACAGGGGAAACCCUGUUGGAGGUCCGUAGCGAUUCUGACGUGCAAAUCGAUCGUCGGAACUGGGUAUAG